AUUAGAGUUUGAUCCUGGCUCAGAAUCAACGCUGGCGGCGUGCCUCAGACAUGCAAGUCGAACGCGAAAGACCCCUUCGGGGGUCCGGUAGAGUGGCGCUCGGGUGAGUAACACGUGGGUAAUUUGCCUUCGGGUGGGGAAUAACAGUCGGAAACGGCUGCUAAUACCGCAUAAUGCAGCGGCACCUAAUGGUGACAGUUGUUAAAGCGGGGGAGUCCAAAAGAUCCUCGCGCCUGAAGAGAAGCCCGCGGCGGAUUAGCUAGUUGGUGAGGUAAUGGCUCACCAAGGCAACGAUCCGUAGCCGGCCUGAGAGGGCACACGGCCACACUGGCACUGAAACACGGGCCAGACUCCUACGGGAGGCAGCAGUGGGGAAUCUUGCACAAUGGGGGAAACCCUGAUGCAGCGACGCCGCGUGAGCGAUGAAGCCCUUCGGGGUGUAAAGCUCUUUCGGCAGGAACGAUAAUGACGGUACCUGAAGAAGAAGCUGCGGCUAACUACGUGCCAGCAGCCGCGGUAAUACGUAGGCAGCGAGCGUUGUUCGGAGUUACUGGGCGUAAAGCGUGCGUAGGCGGUUUUCUAAGUCUGGUGUGAAAUCUCCUGGCUCAACUGGGAGGGUGCGCCGGAAACUGGGAAGCUGGAGUAUGGGAGAGGUAAGCGGAAUUCCUGGUGUAGCGGUGAAAUGCGUAGAUAUCAGGAGGAACACCUGUGGUGUAGACGGCUUACUGGACCAUAACUGACGCUGAGGCACGAAAGCGUGGGUAGCAAACAGGAUUAGAUACCCUGGUAGUCCACGCCCUAAACGAUGCAUACUUGGUGUGGGCAAUUCAUUUUGUCUGUGCCGGAGCUAACGCGUUAAGUAUGCCGCCUGGGGAGUACGGUCGCAAGGCUGAAACUCAAAGGAAUUGACGGGGGCCCGCACAAGCGGUGGAGCAUGUGGUUUAAUUCGACGCAACGCGAAGAACCUUACCUGGGCUCGAACGGCUUUAGACCGGGUUUAGAAAUAGACCUUUUCCCGCAAGGGACUGAAGUCGAGGUGCUGCAUGGCUGUCGUCAGCUCGUGUCGUGAGAUGUUGGGUUAAGUCCCGCAACGAGCGCAACCCUUGUCCUGUGUUGCUAAUCCGCAAGGAUGCACUCUCAGGAGACCGCCAGCGAUAAGCUGGAGGAAGGUGGGGAUGACGUCAAGUCAUCAUGGCCUUUAUGUCCAGGGCUACACACGUGCUACAAUGGACGGUACAGACCGCCGCAAACCCGCGAGGGGGAGCAAAUCGGAAAAAACCGUUCUCAGUUCGGAUUGCAGGCUGCAACUCGCCUGCAUGAAGCUGGAAUCGCUAGUAAUGGCAUAUCAGAACGAUGCCGUGAAUACGUUCCCGGGCCUUGUACACACCGCCCGUCACAUCACGAAAGUGGGUUGUACUAGAAGUCUGCGCGCUAACCCGCAAGGGGAGCAGCGGCCCAAGGUAUGACUCAUGAUUGGGGUGAAGUCGUAACAAGGUAACCAAU
Molecule: ribosomal RNA, 1503 nt
Filed under: uncultured bacterium
Lineage: Bacteria
Description: bacterial SSU rRNA
Rfam family: Bacterial small subunit ribosomal RNA
Source: RNAcentral